CUCUGUGAUCCUACGGGAGGCAGCAGUGGGGAAUAUUGCACAAUGGGCGCAAGCCUGAUGCAGCCAUGCCGCGUGUGUGAAGAAGGCCUUCGGGUUGUAAAGCACUUUCAGUUGUGAGGAAGGUGGUGUCGUUAAUAGCGGCAUCAUUUGACGUUAGCAACAGAAGAAGCACCGGCUAACUCCGUGCCAGCAGCCGCGGUAAUACGGAGGGUGCGAGCGUUAAUCGGAAUUACUGGGCGUAAAGCGCAUGCAGGUGGUUUGUUAAGUCAGAUGUGAAAGCCCCGGGGCUCAACCUCGGAACUGCAUUUGAAACUGGCAGACUAGAGUACUGUAGAGGGGGUAGAAUUUCAGGUGUAGCGGUGAAAUGCGUAGAGAUCUGAAGGAAUACCGGUGGCGAAGGCGGCCCCCUGGACAGAUACUGACACUCAGAUGCGAAAGCGUGGGGAGCAAACAGGAUUAGAUACCCUGGUAG
This 472-nucleotide ribosomal RNA is filed under the name uncultured bacterium. Its description in RNAcentral is "bacterial SSU rRNA". It matches the Rfam family "Bacterial small subunit ribosomal RNA", at positions 329 to 793 of the family's 1533-position model. The record is from RNAcentral.